Molecule: transfer RNA, 65 nt
Filed under: Scydmaeninae sp. BMNH 1274313
Lineage: Eukaryota; Metazoa; Arthropoda; Insecta; Coleoptera; Staphylinidae
Description: Scydmaenidae sp. BMNH 1274313 tRNA-Ser
Source: RNAcentral
AGUUAAUGAACUUGAUAUAAGUAUAUAUUUUGAAAAUAUAAUAUAGGUUUAUUACCUAUUAACUU